AACGAACGCUGGCGGCAGGCUUAAUACAUGCAAGUCGAACGGGCGCGAGCAAUCGCGUCAGUGGCAGACGGGUGAGUAACACGUGGGAACCUUCCUCGUUGUACGGAACAACUCAGGGAAACUUGAGCUAAUACCGUAUAAGUCCGAGAGGAGAAAGAUUUAUCGCAAUGAGACGGGCCCGCGUCGGAUUAGGUAGUUGGUGAGGUAACGGCUCACCAAGCCGACGAUCCGUAGCUGANCUGAGAGGAUGAUCAGCCACACUGGGACUGAGACACGGCCCAGACUCCUACGGGAGGCAGCAGUAGGGAAUCUUGGACAAUGGGCGCAAGCCUGAUCCAGCCAUGCCGCGUGAGUGAAGAAGGCC
Molecule: ribosomal RNA, 364 nt
Filed under: uncultured bacterium
Lineage: Bacteria
Description: bacterial SSU rRNA
Rfam family: Bacterial small subunit ribosomal RNA
Source: RNAcentral